This 254-nucleotide ribosomal RNA is filed under the name uncultured bacterium. RNAcentral's name for it is "partial 16S ribosomal RNA". It matches the Rfam family "Bacterial small subunit ribosomal RNA", at positions 524 to 776 of the family's 1533-position model. The record is from RNAcentral.
UACGGGGGGUGCGAGCGUUGUCCGGAAUCACUGGGCGUAAAGGGCGCGUAGGUGGCUUUGUAAGUUUGCGGUGAAAGCCCGGGGGCUCAACCCCGGGUCUGCCGUGGAUACUGCAAGGCUUGAGUACUGUAGAGGCAGGUAGAAUAUCGGGUGUAGCGGUGGAAUGCGUAGAGAUCCGAUAGAAGACCGGUGGCGAAGGCGGCCUGCUGGGCAGUAACUGACACUGAGGCGCGACAGCGUGGGGAGCAAACAGG